AUUGAACGCUGGCGGCAGGCCUAACACAUGCAAGUCGAGCGGAUGAAGGGAGCUUGCUCCUGGAUUCAGCGGCGGACGGGUGAGUAAUGCCUAGGAAUCUGCCUGGUAGUUGGGGAUAACGUCCGGUAACGGGCGCUAAUACCGCAUACGUCCUGAGGUAGAAAGUGGGGGAUCUUCGGACCUCACGCUAUCAGAUGUGCCUAGGUCGGAUUAGCUAGUUGGUUGGGUAAAGGCCUACCAAGGCGACGAUCCGUAACUGGUCUGAGAGGAUGAUCAGUCACACUGGAACUGAGACACGGUCCAGACUCCUACGGGAGGCAGCAGUGGGGAAUAUCGGACAAUGGGCGAAAGCCUGAUCCAGCAAUGCCGCGUGUGUGAAGAAGGUCUUCGGAUUGUAAAGCACUUUAAGUUGGGAGGAAGGGCAGUAAGUUAAUACCUUGCUGUUUUGACGUUACCAACAGAAUAAGCACCGGCUAACUUCGUG
Molecule: ribosomal RNA, 484 nt
Filed under: uncultured bacterium
Lineage: Bacteria
Description: partial 16S ribosomal RNA
Rfam family: Bacterial small subunit ribosomal RNA
Source: RNAcentral